AUUAGACGUUCGUCUGUUGUUGAGAAUCUUUGAAUUUAGGUCCAACGACUUAUUUUACACCCCCGUUUAGUGCUUAUUCGGGUUAGCGCGUUUUUUACUGGAAUUAUGGUGUUUUCUGACUGCAUCUAGCAAGGAGUGGCAUUACACAGCUUUUGGUCGCACAUCCGAACAGAGUGGAUUUCCCUUAAAUCUAGCGGACAAUUGCUGCGUGUUGAGUAUACCUACCAUCACCUCUACCAGAGAUCUACAAAGGAGUCAAUCGCGCUGCGAAGAACCAUCGAAAGUGCAGGAAAAGCGCUCUUAGUGCUCUAGUUAGUAGAUACAAGUAAUAAUUGGUUGUGGU
Molecule: long non-coding RNA, 343 nt
Organism: Dendroctonus ponderosae (mountain pine beetle)
Lineage: Eukaryota; Metazoa; Arthropoda; Insecta; Coleoptera; Curculionidae
Exons: 5
Source: RefSeq, a predicted model, not a curated record